GAAAAGCAUGCAUGGGCCAAGAAGCCCAAACUCUUAAUCACCGAACCCGGUUCCCAUAUGCAUAACCCAGAUCUGGAAUCCCUAAUCUCAGAUACACCACCAAGAAAACGCGUUCACCAUUCUUGCGUCCUUUUCCUGAGAUCCAAAGUCCAAAAACGACAUACAUGAUCCAUGGCCUGGCUCAGUUUCGUGUAAACGGCGUGUGAAUGACGCAACCAACGCGUAUCCGGAUUUCAACUUCUCCAUCAAAGAAAAUGCGAACUCCGAUCGAAUCCAUGAGGAAAUUGAAACAUCACCAUCGAAGUGGAAAUCGAGAAACAAAGUCUUUGCGCACAAAGUAGAAGCAAAUUAAGGAGAAGAAAAGACGAACCAGAUUCAGUGCACUACUUGGAUCUUCCCCUUUGAUCGUUCCUAUUCAUGUCGCCGCAGUCGUCGACCUGCCGUGUUCCGCUAUUAUGCGUGAUGCUGAUUUGCCGUUCAUGGUGAAAAGUGAAGCUCGGUUUGUGCGUUCCUCAAGGUGUGCGUUCCUCAAGGUGUGCGUUCGUUCUACGUUGCGAUGAAGAAAGAAGACUUCGCUCGAAUCGCUGUUGUUAUGGAGCUUGAUAAAGCACUUGAAGAGUUAUGCCAAAACGGAUCGAAUAAUUGUUGAUAACCUUGCUUUAAAGAACAAGAGGUCUCACUUGUAGUGAAACUUGGUCAUUUAGAAGAAGCAUGAUAUUACUUCCCAUGAGUGAUGAUUAUAGUUACUAAGAGGGCCCUUCCAAAACUUGUGCAUUCAUUGUGUUUAUCAAACUACUGAAAUUAGAAACACUCAUGCGAGUAAAUUGUAUUGGCUUUCUGUAGAAUUGGAAAUAGGUUAUGUAUGAAUCAAUGUAUGGACAUGCUUGUAGUUUUGAUGUAAUUUUAACAUUGUGUGAAGUUGGAAUUUGAAAUGGUUAUGUAACUUUGAAAUUGGAAUUGGUUUGACAUUGGUUCAUAUAUUUGGAAAUGGAAAUUGAUAUUUUGGUUGAA
Lathyrus oleraceus (garden pea) is the source of this 1011-nucleotide long non-coding RNA. RefSeq lists it as uncharacterized. The transcript has 2 exons. The record is from RefSeq and is a predicted model, not a curated record. NCBI's taxonomy places the organism in Eukaryota, Viridiplantae, Streptophyta, Magnoliopsida, Fabales, Fabaceae.